AUACGGAGGAUCCGAGCGUUAUCCGGAUUUAUUGGGUUUAAAGGGUGCGCAGGCGGGAGAUUAAGUCGGCGGUGAAAUUUUGCAGCGCCACUGUAAAAGGGCCUUCGAAACUGGUUUCCUUGAUUGCGGUCGAGGUUGGCGGAAUUUGUUGUGGAGCGGUGAAAUGCAUAGAUAUGACGAAGAACACCGAUUGCGUAGGCAGCUGACCAGACCGCAAAUGACGCUCAUGCACGAAAGUGCGGGGAUCGAACAGGAUUAGAUACCCUGGUAGUCCGCACAGUAAACGAUGAAUACUUGUUUUCGGCGAUAUAAUGUCGGAGGCAAAGCGAAAGCGAUAAGUAUUCCACCUGGGGAGUACGCCGGCAACGGUGAAACUCAAAUGAAUUGGCGGGG
This 393-nucleotide ribosomal RNA is filed under the name uncultured bacterium. RNAcentral describes it as "partial 16S ribosomal RNA". It matches the Rfam family "Bacterial small subunit ribosomal RNA", at positions 523 to 918 of the family's 1533-position model. The record is from RNAcentral.